AUAUCAUUUAGCGGAGGACAAGAAAACAACCGUGAUUCCCUGAGUAACGGCGAGUGAACAGGGAACAGCCUAUGCUUGAAUCCGCAGCGGAAGGAAUCGGAAGCUGUGGAAUUGUAGUGCAAGGGCCAAGGGGCACCCAUACAGUCAGAUGAAGCAUAAUGGAAAGUGUCACCGAGGAGGGCGAACGUCCCGUAACGUCUGUACGCGUGUGGGUGAACUCCCCGAGGACUCCAAGAGUCGCGCAGUUUGAUAGUGCUGUGCAAACCGCAGGUGUACUUCUGCGAAGGCUAAAUAUUGCACCAAGACCGAUAGCGAACAAGUAGUGUGAACGAAAGAUGAAAAGCACUUUGGAAAGAGAGUGAAAAAGACCUUGAAGUCGUUGGGCGCAAAGGGUAAGAGACCCAUUAGCCGUCACGUGAAAGCGUGACUUGUCAGUGCAAGUUAUCUGAUUCUGCGCGUGAGGUUUGGAUGAAUCCUUCGGGACCUCUGAGGACCUCAACGAGAGCAGCAAUCGGGUGACUUGAAAAGUGACGUGAUGAAGGAGUGCUUGUGUUUG
Molecule: ribosomal RNA, 556 nt
Filed under: uncultured fungus
Lineage: Eukaryota; Fungi
Description: eukaryotic LSU rRNA
Rfam family: Eukaryotic large subunit ribosomal RNA
Source: RNAcentral